This 537-nucleotide ribosomal RNA is filed under the name uncultured Glomus. RNAcentral describes it as "SSU rRNA". It matches the Rfam family "Eukaryotic small subunit ribosomal RNA", at positions 559 to 1097 of the family's 1831-position model. The record is from RNAcentral. Lineage: Eukaryota; Fungi; Glomeromycota; Glomeromycetes; Glomerales; Glomeraceae.
GUCUGGUGCCAGCAGCCGCGGUAAUUCCAGCUCCAAUAGCGUAUAUUAAAGUUGUUGCAGUUAAAAAGCUCGUAGUUGAAUUUCGGGAUCAGUACGCUGGUCAUGCCUUCGGUAUGCACUGGUGUCACUGAUUCCUCCCUUCUGAAGAACCGUAAUGCCAUUCAGUUGGUGUUGCGGGGAAUCAGGACUGUUACUUUGAAAAAAUUAGAGUGUUUAAAGCAGGCUUGCGCUUGAAUACAUUAGCAUGGAAUAAUGAAAUAGGACGUUUGAUCCUAUUUUGUUGGUUUCUAGGAUUGACGUAAUGAUUAAUAGGGAUAGUUGGGGGCAUUAGUAUUCAAUUGUCAGAGGUGAAAUUCUUGGAUUUAUUGAAGACUAACUACUGCGAAAGCAUUUGCCAAGGAUGUUUUCAUUAAUCAAGAACGAAAGUUAGGGGAUCGAAGACGAUCAGAUACCGUCGUAGUCUUAACCAUAAACUAUGCCGACUAGGGAUCGGAUGAUGUUAAUUUUUUAAUGACUCAUUCGGCGCCUUACGGGAAA